CACGAUUCCGGAGGUUCGUAUAAAAGCGAUGGAUUCAAGUUGAAUCCAUUUCCACAUCAUCCUGCGAUUCUCCCGGUGAAGUCCGACCGAGGUUCAGCGACGGUGAAGCAACAGCUCGCAUCUGAGAAGAACACCUAAAACCGAGUUGAUUGAAGGUUGUAACUUCAUAUCUAGGGUUUACCCUAUUUCCAAAUCAGACGAUCGACUCCAAGGUUUGAAGAACUAGAAUCGAAGUUUGAUUUAAGAUGACAUCGAAUAUAUCCGCUUGUGAUAUUGCAAAGUGUGAGAACUGUGGGAAAGGUUGCUCAGUUUUCACUUCUAAGUCAGGGUCACAUGUUGGAAGGAAAUUUUUUAAAUGUUCAAUGAAUUGUCACUUCUUCAUGUGGGUUGACCAUCUUAAGAUGUGUGACUGUGGGAACGGUCAAUGUAAGGUCAGAACUGCGAAAACAAGUGCGAAUUAUGGUCGAUAUUUUUGGUGCUGUCCACAAUCAACUGGGGUUGAAAACAAAGGUUGUGGAAUGUUUGAAUGGAUAUCAAGUUCAAGCCCAAGUUGUGAUACUUACCAGACUCCACCUAGGUCCAUAUGCUCAAAAACAUCAACUUCAUCAUCUCCUUCCCCUUCAUCAGACUAUAUCAAAGGAUACUUGAACGGUGCAAUAAAAGAAUCUG
Macadamia integrifolia is the source of this 669-nucleotide long non-coding RNA. RefSeq lists it as uncharacterized. The record is from RefSeq and is a predicted model, not a curated record. NCBI's taxonomy places the organism in Eukaryota, Viridiplantae, Streptophyta, Magnoliopsida, Proteales, Proteaceae. The transcript is spliced from 5 exons.